RNAcentral lists this ribosomal RNA (379 nucleotides) under Phymatodes testaceus. Its description in RNAcentral is "partial 12S ribosomal RNA". Lineage: Eukaryota; Metazoa; Arthropoda; Insecta; Coleoptera; Cerambycidae. The record is from RNAcentral.
ACUAGGGAUAGAUACCCUAUUAUUAUGAACGUGAAUGUUUAUUCCAGAUUAGUAUUAGUUAUUUUCUUGAAAAUUAAAGAUUUUGGCGGUAUUUUAGUCUAUUCAGAGGAACCUGUCCCGUAAUUGAUAAUCCACGAUAAAUUUUACUUUUUCUUUAAGUUUAUAUAUCGUCGUAGUUUGAAUAUUUUUUAAGAAUUUAAAUGUUCAAGAUUUUUGUUGAAAGGAAAUCAGAUCAAGGUGUAGCUUAUGAAUGAGUGGAGGUGGGUUACGUUUUUAUCAAUAAAAAGGAUUAUUUUUUGAAAUUAAAUAUGAAUUUGGAUUUGAAAGUAAUUUUAAUUAUUUAAUUAAGAUGAUUUUAGCUCUAAAAUAUGCACAUAUC